RNAcentral lists this ribosomal RNA (922 nucleotides) under uncultured Sphaerobolus. RNAcentral's name for it is "eukaryotic LSU rRNA". The stretch from base 720 to 922 matches the Rfam family "Eukaryotic large subunit ribosomal RNA", at positions 1 to 201 of the family's 3401-position model. Lineage: Eukaryota; Fungi; Basidiomycota; Agaricomycetes; Geastrales; Sphaerobolaceae. The record is from RNAcentral.
UGGCUUUGGGGAGUCGGAAACGACACCUUAUUGCCGAGAAGUUGAUCAAACUUGGUCGUUUAGAGGAAGUAAAAGUCGUAACAAGGUUUCCGUAGGUGAACCUGCGGAAGGAUCAUUACAGUAUGAUUAGAGGGGUUUGAUGCUGGCUUUUAACUAAGCAUGUGCGCACCCUUCGACUUCAAUCCACAUACACCUGUGCACCCUUGGCGAGUCAGUCUCCCAGCUGCAAAGUUGCGUCCUUGUGAAUUUAUUCGCUUGGAAUUGGGGCUGCUUGUCAUAACACAUACAUUAAUACCAGUUUAUAACGCAUGUUUAUUUGCUCUACGGAGCUUUAACAAAAUACAACUUUCAACAACGGAUCUCUUGGCUUUCGCAUCGAUGAAGAACGCCGCGAACGUGCGAAACGUAAUGUGAAUUGCAGAAUUCAGUGAAUCAUCGAAUCUUUGAACGCAUCUUGCGCUCCUUGGUAUUCCGAGGAGCAUGCCUGUUUGAGUGUCGUGAAUACUCUCAAUCUUAAGUCUUUUUUUACGAGAAGGCCUUAGGGUUGGAUUUGGAUGUUGCUGCGAUUUUAUUGCGGCUCGUCUCGAAAUGCAUUAGCUGGUCCACCUCGGUCUUAACAAACGGUGUGAUAAGAAACAUUCAUUUGUGACUGUAGCGCUGCUGUUAUAGACUGGUGAAAGGACUGCUUCUAAUCGUCUUCGGACAAUUUUCAUGUCAUCUGACCUCAAAUCAGGUAGGACUACCCGCUGAACUUAAGCAUAUCAAUAAGCGGAGGAAAAGAAACUAACAAGGAUUCCCCUAGUAACGGCGAGUGAAGCGGGAAGAGCUCAAAUUUAAAAUCUGGCGGCCUAAGGUCGUCCGAGUUGUAGUCUAGAGAGGUGUUUUCCGUGCUGGACCGUGUACAAGUCCCUUGGAACAGGGC